UGUGCCUCGCUUGCGUUUCCUUUCUUGAAAACUCGGCGCUCGCUACUUUCCUGUCGAGAAUGCUCCGUCACACUGAUAACGCGCAUGCCGUUUGUAACUGGGAAGUACUGGGCUCGCAGAUUUAAAGAAAGGAAACGCGGGCAAGACGGAUGAAGAUUAUCGUUGUGGGACAAGAUAAGCCCCAAAGGGUGUAAAUUUUUCUAGGAGUGUAGAGUGUAGGCAAAGUCACACCCUUUGGGGUGUAUCUCUGCCACACAACGAUAAUCGUCGUCUGCCUUGCUUGCGUUUCCUUUCUUUAAAACGCCGCGCCCGCUACUUUCCUGUCGGGAAUGCUAUGUCAUGCUGAUAACGCGCAUGCCGUUCGUUGCUCGAAAGUACCGGUCUCGCCACGUUAAAGAAAGCAGAUGUGGACAAGACAGAUCACGAUUAUCGUUCUGUGGCAAACGGGUGUAAUUUUGCUUAAGAGUGUAGUCUGUGGUCAUCCCGCGACCGGUUCCAAUCCAGUUUCAGAGAGCGCGCCGGGUCCCGGGCCGGUUCCAGAUCUACUUCAGCCGCAACAGGAUAAUCGUCGUCUGCCUUGCUUGCGUUUCCUUUCUUUAAAACGCCACGCCCGCUACUUUCCUGUCGGGAAUGCUAUGUCAUGCUGAUAACGCGCAUGCCGUUCGUUACUGGAAAUUACCGGGCUCGCCACGUUAAAGAAAGCAGAUGAGGACAAGACAGAUGACCAUUAUCGUUGUGUGGCAAAAGGGUGUAAUUUUGCUUAAGAGUGCAUUCUGUGGUCAUCCCGCGGCCGGUUCCAAUCCAGUUUCAGAGAGCGCGCCGGGCCCCGGCCCGUUCCAGAUCUACCUCAG
RNAcentral lists this long non-coding RNA (851 nucleotides) under Dermacentor andersoni. Its description in RNAcentral is "uncharacterized LOC126545987". Lineage: Eukaryota; Metazoa; Arthropoda; Arachnida; Ixodida; Ixodidae. The record is from RNAcentral.